UCAAGUUAUUAAGGGUGCAGGGCGGAUGCCUUGGCACUAGGAGCCGAUGAAGGACGUGAUAAGCUGCGAUAAGCUUCGGGGAGUUGCACGUAAACUUUGAUCCGAAGAUUUCCGAAUGAGGAAACUCACUUAGAGUAAUGUCUAAGUAUCAUUAAGUGAAUACAUAGCUUAAUGAGGGGAACUCAGGGAACUGAAACAUCUAAGUACCUGAAGGAAGAGAAAGAAAUUCGAUUCCGUAAGUAGCGGCGAGCGAACGCGGAUUAGCCCAAACCAAUAAAGUUUUCUUUAUUGGGGUUGCGGACAUAUCAUAACGAAGAGGUAUCGUAAUUGAAGAGGUUUGGAAAGACCCACCACAGAAGGUAAUAGUCCUGUAUGUUAAACGAGAAGACUUUAGAUAUGAUCCAGAGUACCACGGGACACGUGAAACCCUGUGGGAAGCAGGAGGGACCAUCCUCCAAGCCUAAAUACUACCUAGUGACCGAUAGCGUAUAGUACCGUGAGGGAAAGGUGAAAAGAACCCCGGGAGGGGAGUGAAAUAGAACCUGAAACCCUGCACUUACAAGCUGUGGAAGCACAUUUCUUGUGUGACCGCGUACUUUUUGUAGAACGGGCCAACGAGUUACGUUAAGUAGCAAGGUUAAGCACUUAAGGUGCGGAGCCGUAGCGAAAGCGAGUUUUAACUGAGCGUUCAGUUACUUGACGUAGACCCGAAACCGGGCGACCUACCCAUGAGCAGGAUGAAGCGAAAGUAAAAUUUCGUGGAGGUCCGAACCCACGAGCGUUGAAAAGCUCGGGGAUGACUUGUGGGUAGCGGUGAAAUUCCAAUCGAGCCCGGAGAUAGCUGGUUCUCCCCGAAAUAGCUUUAGGGCUAGCCUCAAGGUGAGAGAUACGGAGGUAGAGCACUGAAUGUCCUAGGGGGUAUUGCACCUACCGAAGACUAUCAAACUCCGAAUGCCGUCAUCUUAUACUUGGGAGUCAGACUGUGGGUGAUAAGAUUCAUAGUCGAAAGGGCAACAGCCCAGAUCGUCAGCUAAGGUCCCUAAAUGUAAGUUAAGUGGUAAAGGAUGUGGGAUUGCACAGACAACCAGGAUGUUGGCUUAGAAGCAGCCACUCAUUCAAAGAGUGCGUAAUAGCUCACUGGUCGAGUGAUCCUGCGCCGAAGAUUUCCGGGGCUAAAACUUACUACCGAAGCUACGGCAUCAGUAAUGAUGGGUAGGGGAGCUUCCCAUACGGGUUGAAGCAUGACCGUAAGGACAUGUGGACAGUAUGGGAGUGAGAAUGUUGGCAUGAGUAGCGAGAUGUGGGUGAGAAUCCCACAGGCCGUAAACCCAAGGUUUCCAGGGGAAGGUUCGUCCGCCCUGGGUUAGUCGGGACCUAAGCUGAGGCCGAAAGGCGUAGGUGAUGGACAACAGGUUGAUAUUCCUGUACUACCGAUAACCGUUUGAGAGAAGGGAUGACACAGUAGGAUAAGCUAAGCACACUGUUGGUUAUGUGUGCCCAAGCAUUGAGGCAGUCAAAGUAGGCAAAUCCGCUUUGAUAAUGCUGGGAUGUGAUGGGGAGCGAAAUUUAGUAGCGAAGUAGCUGAUUUCACACUGUCAAGAAAAGUCUCUAUCGAGGUUAAAGGUACCCGUACCGCAAACCGACACAGGUGGGUGAGGAGAGUAUCCUAAGGCCAGCGAGAGAACUGUUGUUAAGGAACUCGGCAAAAUGACCCCGUAACUUAGGGAUAAGGGGUGCCACCAUCAGGUGGCCGCAGAGAAUAGGCCCAAGCGACUGUUUACCAAAAACAUAGGUUUCUGCUAAGUCGCAAGACGAUGUAUAGGAGCUGACGCCUGCCCGGUGCUGGAAGGUUAAGGGGAUCUGUUAGAGCAAUCGAAGCAGUGAACUUAAGCCCCAGUAAACGGCGGCCGUAACUAUAACGGUCCUAAGGUAGCGAAAUUCCUUGUCGGGUAAGUUCCGACCCGCACGAAAGGCGUAACGAUUUGGGCACUGUCUCAACAACAGACUCGGUGAAAUUGUAAUUCCGGUGAAGAUGCCGGAUACCUGCGACAGGACGGAAAGACCCCAUGGAGCUUUACUGUAGCUUGACAUUGGGUCUUGGUACUACAUGUACAGGAUAGGUGGGAGGCUUUGAAACCAGGACGCCAGUUUUGGCGGAGCCAUCCUUGGGAUACCACCCUUGUAGUACUGGGACUCUAACCAUAGGCCAUGAAUCUGGUCUUGGGACACUGUCAGGUGGGCAGUUUGACUGGGGCGGUCGCCUCCCAAAAGGUAACGGAGGCGCUCAAAGGUUCUCUCAGUACGGUCGGAAAUCGUACGUAGAGUGUAAAGGCAAAAGAGAGCUUGAUUGCAAGACAUACAGGUCGAGCAAGGAUGAAAAUCGGACUUAGUGAUCCGGUGGUUCUGCGUGGAAGGGCCAUCGCUCAACGGAUAAAAGCUACCCUGGGGAUAACAGGCUUAUCUCCCCCAAGAGUCCACAUCGACGGGGAGGUUUGGCACCUCGAUGUCGGCUCAUCACAUCCUGGGGCUGUAGUAGGUCCCAAGGGUUGGGCUGUUCGCCCAUUAAAGUGGUACGCGAGCUGGGUUCAGAACGUCGUGAGACAGUUCGGUCCCUAUCCGUCGCAGGCGUAGGAAAUUUGAGAAGACCUGUCCUUAGUACGAGAGGACCGGGAUGGACGUACCUCUGGUGUACCAGUUGUCCUGCCAAGGGCAUGGCUGGGUAGCUAUGUACGGAAUGGAUAAGCGCUGAAAGCAUCUAAGCGCGAAGCCAACUUCAAGAUAAGAUUUCCCACCGCAAGGGUAAGACCCCAGAAAGACUAUCUGGUUGAUAGGUCGAAGGUGUAAGUGCAGCAAUGUAUUUAGCUUAUCGAUACUAAUAGGUCGAGGACUUGACCAA
This 2896-nucleotide ribosomal RNA is filed under the name human gut metagenome. RNAcentral describes it as "bacterial LSU rRNA". It matches the Rfam family "Bacterial large subunit ribosomal RNA". The record is from RNAcentral.